Molecule: unclassified non-coding RNA, 336 nt
Filed under: soil metagenome
Description: partial contains 5.8S ribosomal RNA, internal transcribed spacer 2, and large subunit ribosomal RNA
Rfam family: 5.8S ribosomal RNA (bases 1-119)
Source: RNAcentral
GAUGAAAACGUAGCGAAAUGCGAUAAGUAAUGUGAAUUGCAGAAUUCCGUGAAUCAUCGAAUCUUUGAACGCACAUUGCGCCCCCUGGCAUUCCGGGGGGCAUGCCUGUCCGAGCGUCAUUUCUGCCCUCAAGCACGGCUUGUGUGUUGGGUGUGGUCCCCCCGGGGACCUGCCCGAAAGGCAGCGGCGACGUCCGUCUGGUCCUCGAGCGUAUGGGGCUCUGUCACUCGCUCGGGAAGGACCUGCGGGGGUUGGUCACCACUAUAUUUUACCACGGUUGACCUCGGAUCAGGUAGGAGUUACCCGCUGAACUUAAGCAUAUCAAUAAGCGGAGGA